GUGCAGCAGGCGAGAAUCCUUCGCAAUGCGGGAAACCGCGACGAGGGGACUCCCAGUGCCUACGCUCAGCGUAGGCUGUUCCCGAGCCUAGAAAGCUCGGGGAGUAAGGGCUGGGUAAGACGGGUGCCAGCCGCCGCGGUAACUACCCGCAGCCCGAGUGGUGGCCACUAGUUAUUGGGCCUAAAGCGUCCGUAGCCGGCCCGGUAAAUGCCUGGGGUAAAUCGUGAGGCCUAACCUCACGGAAUUCCGGGGUAGACUGCCGGGGCUAGGGACCGGAGGAGGGAGAGGGGUACUCCAGGGGUAGGGGUGAAAUCCUGUAAUCCCUGGAGGACCACCGGUGGCGAAGGCGCUCUCCUAGGACGGGUCCGACGGUGAGGGACGAAAGCCAGGGGA
This 393-nucleotide ribosomal RNA is filed under the name uncultured microorganism. RNAcentral's name for it is "bacterial SSU rRNA". It matches the Rfam family "Archaeal small subunit ribosomal RNA", at positions 330 to 718 of the family's 1478-position model. The record is from RNAcentral.